RNAcentral lists this ribosomal RNA (253 nucleotides) under uncultured bacterium. RNAcentral's name for it is "partial 16S ribosomal RNA". It matches the Rfam family "Bacterial small subunit ribosomal RNA", at positions 524 to 776 of the family's 1533-position model. The record is from RNAcentral.
UACAGAGGGUGCAAGCGUUAUCCGGAUUCACUGGGUUUAAAGGGUGCGUAGGCGGACAGGUAAGUCAGUGGUGAAAUCUCUGGGCUUAACCCAGAAACUGCCGUUGAUACUAUUUGUCUUGAAUAUCCUGGAGGUAGGCGGAAUAUGUCAUGUAGCGGUGAAAUGCUUAGAUAUGACAUAGAACACCGAUAGCGAAGGCAGCUUACUACAGGAUGAUUGACGCUGAGGCACGAAAGCGUGGGGAGCAAACAGG